UCAAACAGCGAGCGCACAGUGCACCGCGCGAGGAAAAAAAACAGCCAGCAGGGGUCCCGUGAAAAUAUCUCCUCUCCCCUACCCUCUCUCCCGUGCUCUCCCCUCCCCUGAUCCCCGUUCCCUCCCAUCGCGCCGCCGGCUCCACGCGGCGCCGACGCGACCUUCUCUCCCCCGACGCUCGAGAUCCCCUUCUUCCCUCCGGCCGCGCCGCCGGCUCCACGCGGCGCCCGUGCUCACUCGCUCAUCCAUGGCUCCAUCCCUCCUCCUUGUCCGAUGGAGCGACCGGCAUCGCUCCGUCUCGAACUGCUCCAGAGAGAGAAAGAGGAGAGGAAGGUGUGGCGGCGGACGGGAGAGGGUCACCGGCUGCUGUCGGCCUGCGCGGACGAAGUCGGGCGCGACCUCGUGGUCUGUGGCGGCUCAAUCUGCUCCUGGAUCGAUCGAGGGCCACGCCAAGGUCAUUGAUCUGCUGCUCGACCGCGAUGCGGAGGCCGUCGUCCAGGACCAGUGGGGAAGCACGGUGAGUCUGCUUUUCGUUGAUCUGCUGCUCGACCGCGAUGCGGAGGCCGUCGUCCAGGACCAGUGGGGAAGCAUGACGAAUGUUUUACUACACAUGGUGUUAACUAAGCGCAUGAAGAUUAUGCCUUCUUCAAUGCAAUAUUAUGCUGACACUUUUGAGAGAGGAGAAGAAAGAGAGGGCGACAUGCUGACCGACGACGAUGCAGCCUCGGAAGAGGAGGACAAGAAGAAAGAAGAAAGAGAGGGUGAGAAGAGUCCGAUUCUGGUCAAGAGAUGCCAUGGGGAAGAUGCUGGCCUUAUUUCUCACACCCCGAAAGUCACAUUACUUCUAUGAACCAGAAGAACUAGAAGUAUGAAACUUCCAAGAGGAAAUAUUCAUUCCUCUUAGUUAUGUCAUUAUUUGUACAUGCUUUUGCAAUACUCAUGAUGCCCUCAGAAUUAUUUAAAAGGAUGCAUCCUUUGGUAUCUGUUCAUACUUAUUAUAGAGCUAUGUUUUACCAUCGAGUAGAUCUCUUAUUACCAUGAUAUUGUCUAAUUUUUACAUGGAUACAGAAGGGUAACUUAACGUUGUAUUCAGAGCUGGGUCGACAUGUGAAGACGUGAGAGCUAGAGCAAAUAGACUGUGAGGUUAUCAGGAUACUGGAGAAAUGGGUUUUGCUUUAGUCCUUGUUAAUGGCACUGGUUUUUCUGGUGCGAGUAAAGCCUGACAGUGGUGUACUCCAGGCAAUGUGAAGCUGGGACUUCCCUAUCAGGUGUGACCUUGUAGCCAAAUCCAUGAGUCGGAGGCAGUUGCAGCAACUAACCAUGAAGCGACGGCAGAGAUCCAGUUUAUCUUUUAGGUCUGACCAGCACAAGGUGGCAACAACAGUAGUGGAGAAGGCAUGAAGAGGCCCACAUCUGAAAAUCCGUUCUGCUGACUGAUCAAGGGAGAUGGUCCCAGCAUCCACUGUGACAAUGUUGUCCAGAACAUGGACUCUGGAAACUAAAAAGUAACAUAUUUUGCUUCCAGGCGCAUAAAGGCCACCGAUCGGAUCAGUGCGAAGAAACCCGUUCGGACCGCCGCCGCAAGCCUCGCCUCAGCAACGGAUCAACCUCUGCACCUACAUCCACUUCGACAGGUCCUCAGUCAAAGCAGUGAAGGUCCUUCCCGAAAAGCUUUGAUACGACAUGUGCGCUGGAAAGCUCCAUCUUGUUGUUGGACUUGGUGAAGCUAAUGGGCCCGAGGUCGGUAAGAAGAGUAGGAUGCCUCCAUCUUAUGCUGGUGGUCCGCGCUGUAUGACUGAAAACUUCUAUGAUGGGGUGGCUGUUUUGCGUAUGCAUGCCUCGCCUGAUAUAAUCACAACCUUCACAUGUAAUCCAAAGUGGCCUGAAAUAACGGAGAGUACUGAACCUGGGCAAAAAACAGUCGAUAGGUCUGACAUUACCGUUCGAGUGUAUCGCUUGAAACUUCUUGAGUACCUACAGAAAAUCAGGACAGGGAGGAUGUUUGGGCCUGUAGUUGCUGUUAUCCACACAGGGGAGUUUCAUAAGAGGGAGCUGCCGCAUGCGUGUGUCCUUGUUUGGCAAGAGAAGCAUCAUGACCGGGUGGUCACACCAACUUCAUAAAUUCCUUUAUUUUAAUCACUGGUUCUCAACUGACUGAUAUUGAUGAUGAUGCUCCUGCUACUAUGCCUCCUAACACGAUGGAAACUACAGUUCCUAUGCCACUUAAGCUUAACAGAUGACGAAGAUACUCAACUUGUGGGAACGAUAGAGUUUAUCGUACGCCCUAUGCCUCCACAAGACACGAAGAUUCUGGAUAUCCUCUCAAUGACAGCAUCCUCGCAUGCGAGCGGUUGAUGGGGUGAAGAAGUAGAACUAUGUCCCCAGGAAAAUAGGAGGAGCUCCCGACCCUCCCAUGCUGUCACAUUAGGGGAGGUCCUCCUCCGUUGGAUGAUGGAUCCGCACGAUCCAACGGUGAGCAUCGGAGCCCUAGACCCGGGAAAUAAUUGUGACCCUUCAAGGGGUUUUCAGCAAAAAAGUAAAGCUUGGAGCUCACCUACCGUGGGUGCAUGGGAGGGCUGUUAUUUCCUCCUACGUCCCCUAGGUAUGCUUUCGUAGCUCUCUCUGUUGGAUGUGCCAGUUGAGCAAGUAAUUACAUGGUGUACCACAUAUUUGUUGCUAUUGAUGGUACAUGUUGAUUCGGUCCUCCAGGUGCGGCAUGCAUCUCCAUGACUUGUUUGCUCCUACAAAAGUGAAGAUCAUGCGGAUUCUUCCACAAGGUAAGACUAGGACCGUGCCUCCUGUAACUUCCUUGACUUCGCAAACUAUCGUUUAUUCACUAGCACCAGCUAACACAGUCCGCUGACUUCUUUUAUUUGUCCUCCUUCAUUGAGUUGUUUGGUUUCUAGUCCUCGCCAAUCAACUUUCGUGUUGAAGUGCCCUGUCAAACAUAUUUUGCUUGCACUUUCCUCUUGCCACCAAAUGUGGAGCUUCGUGUGGCUUGUUGUCUCCUCCUAUCUUUUGAUACGUCUCCAACAUAUAUAUAAUUUUUGAUUGUUUCAUGCUAUUAUAUUAUCAA
This is an RNA transcript of Triticum dicoccoides, 3076 nucleotides long. RefSeq lists it as uncharacterized. The record is from RefSeq and is a predicted model, not a curated record. The transcript has 9 exons. NCBI's taxonomy places the organism in Eukaryota, Viridiplantae, Streptophyta, Magnoliopsida, Poales, Poaceae.